RNAcentral lists this long non-coding RNA (411 nucleotides) under Zonotrichia albicollis (white-throated sparrow). Its description in RNAcentral is "lncRNA (ENSZALG00000005719.1)". The record is from RNAcentral. Lineage: Eukaryota; Metazoa; Chordata; Aves; Passeriformes; Passerellidae.
AUGGAGGAAAAAAGAAAUGAUCAAAAUUCCUUUGUGGAGAGAAGAGGAACUCUUUUUUUUCACUGGCUUCUUUCCAUGUGUUACAUUCUAAUGGGAACUUAUCAUUUCUUUCUCACCACGAAAAUUUCAUUUAUCACUGAAACAACAGUGUAUAUAGCAAUCUGCAGAAAAACCAACACCAGAGUCCUGAAGAGUGAUCUGAGCUUACAAAACAAACAGGAGUCUGAGUGUGCUGAGAGAUCUACACUCAAACAAUUGGGACCCUCAGGUGAUUGCAAAAUUUGGAGGUAAGCCAAGCCUGCCAUUUAUUUUCUGGUUUGUUUGUUUGUUUUCAAGCACAGGUGUUGUGAGAUUUUUUUCUAUUAUGUUCUUGAGUUUUUUUUUUCCCCCAGCAGAGUAAUACACUAUUCC